This 235-nucleotide ribosomal RNA is filed under the name uncultured bacterium. Its description in RNAcentral is "partial 16S ribosomal RNA". It matches the Rfam family "Bacterial small subunit ribosomal RNA", at positions 118 to 347 of the family's 1533-position model. The record is from RNAcentral.
UGAGGAACAUGACCUUCGGCGGGGGAGUAGCCGGCCCAACGGCCGGGUAAUACCGCGUACGACCACUCGGGGACAUCCCCAGGUGGUGAAAGCAGCAAUGCGCCGAUGGAGUGCCUCGCGGCCUAUCAGCUAGUUGGUGAGGUAACGGCUCACCAAGGCAACGACGGGUAGCUGGUCUGAGAGGAUGGCCAGCCACAUUGGGACUGAGACACGGCCCAGACUCCUACGGGAGCAG